Molecule: long non-coding RNA, 405 nt
Filed under: Heterocephalus glaber (naked mole-rat)
Lineage: Eukaryota; Metazoa; Chordata; Mammalia; Rodentia; Bathyergidae
Description: lncRNA (ENSHGLG00000047459.1)
Source: RNAcentral
CAUGCAUACGUGGAUGUAGAGGAAUGUGUGUUUUACUCAUUUUUACUGAGCACCUUCGCUACGCUCACGCCUUGCACUAAGUGCUAAAGAGCUAAGGAAAGGGUGAGACCAAUAUGUGCCCAGCUCUGGCCCUCUGGAGCCCCCCAGGAGGUAGGGAACCUUGGCCAACCUCACCCUAAGGACUACUGAAUUAUUCUUCCCCAAGCAUCAAGGAAGAAAAGCACAGCAGGGGGAAAACCCAGCAGGGAGCUUGAUCCACUGUCACCGCAGUGCUCCAGGGCCCACAAGUGAGUUCUGCUCAGGAAUGAGUUUGAGAAAUGAAGUCUGCCGAAAGUGCUAGUGCCACUGGUGUCUGAUGACAGAGCCAAUGUAAGAAGUCCCGGGCCUGGGCCGGGUGGGUGGCCA